CCUACGUGGUGCUGCAGUGAGGAAUAUUGGUCAAUGGCCGGAAGGCUGAACCAGCCAAGCCGCGUGAAGGACGAAGGUGCCAAGCAUUGUAAACUUCUUUUGUCAAGGGACAAAAUCAGGCUCGAGAGCCUGACCGAGGGUCCUUUAAGAAAAAGCAUCGGCUAACUCCGUGCCAGCAGCCGCGGUAAUACGGAGGAUGCGAGCUUUAUCCGGAUUUAUUGGGUUUAACGGGUUUGUAGUCGGACUGUUAAGUCAGCGGUAAAAGCCCGGGGCUCAACCCCGGCGAGCCGUUUAAACUGGUUGUCUUGAGAUGUCGAGCGGUAUGCGGAAUGCGCAGUGUAGCGGUGAAAUGCUUAGAUAU
RNAcentral lists this ribosomal RNA (361 nucleotides) under uncultured bacterium. RNAcentral describes it as "partial 16S ribosomal RNA". It matches the Rfam family "Bacterial small subunit ribosomal RNA", at positions 338 to 697 of the family's 1533-position model. The record is from RNAcentral.